Medicago truncatula (barrel medic) is the source of this 113-nucleotide microRNA precursor. It matches the Rfam family "MIR2593 microRNA precursor family". NCBI's taxonomy places the organism in Eukaryota, Viridiplantae, Streptophyta, Magnoliopsida, Fabales, Fabaceae. The record is from Rfam.
AUAUAAACAAAAUUGAAUUUUUAGGUUCAUUCAUUUAAUGAUGUAUGUGGUCUAUAAUAUGAACCACAUACAUCAUUAAAUGAAUGAACCUAAAAAGUCAAUUUUGCUUAUAC